CAGGGAUUGCCCCAGUAACGGCGAGUGAAGCGGCAACAGCUCAAAUUUGAAAUCUGGCCCCCGGGCCCGAGUUGUAAUUUGUAGAGGAUGCUUUUGGCGAGGUGCCUUCCGAGUUCCCUGGAACGGGACGCCAUAGAGGGUGAGAGCCCCGUCUGGUCGGACACCGAGCCUCUGUAAAGCUCCUUCGACGAGUCGAGUAGUUUGGGAAUGCUGCUCAAAAUGGGAGGUAUAUGUCUUCUAAAGCUAAAUAUUGGCCAGAGACCGAUAGCGCACAAGUAGAGUGAUCGAAAGAUGAAAAGCACUUUGAAAAGAGGGUUAAAAAGUACGUGAAAUUGUUGAAAGGGAAGCGCCUGUGACCAGACUUGGGCCCGGUGAAUCAUCCAGCGUUCUCGCUGGUGCACUUUGCCGGGCCCAGGCCAGCAUCAGUUUGGCGCGGGGGAAAAAGGUGGCGGGAACGUGGCUCCCUCGGGAGUGUUAUAGCCCGCCGCGUAAUACCCUGCGCUGGACUGAGGUACGCGCUCCGCAAGGAUGCUGGCGUAAUGGUCAUCAGCGACCCGUCUUGAAACACGGACCAAGGAGUCGUCUUCGUAUGCGAGUGUUCGGGUGUCAAACCCCUACGCGUAAUGAAAGUGAACGCAGGUGAGAGCUUCGGCGCAUCAUCGACCGAUCCUGAUGUUCUCGGAUGGAUUUGAGUAAGAGCAUACGGGGCCGGACCCGAAAGAAGGUGAACUAUGCCUGUAUAGGGUGAAGCCAGAGGAAACUCUGGUGGAGGCUCGCAGCGGUUCUGACGUGCGAAUCGAUCGUCAAAUAUGGGCAUGGGGGCGAAAGACUAAUCGAACCU
This 841-nucleotide ribosomal RNA is filed under the name Cordyceps cf. takaomontana NHJ 12623. RNAcentral describes it as "LSU rRNA". It matches the Rfam family "Eukaryotic large subunit ribosomal RNA", at positions 69 to 942 of the family's 3401-position model. Lineage: Eukaryota; Fungi; Ascomycota; Sordariomycetes; Hypocreales; Cordycipitaceae. The record is from RNAcentral.